GACGAACGCUGGCGGCGUGCUUAACACAUGCAAGUCGAACGGAAAGGCCCUGCUUUUGUGGGGUGCUCGAGUGGCGAACGGGUGAGUAACACGUGAGUAACCUGCCCUUGACUUUGGGAUAACUUCAGGAAACUGGGGCUAAUACCGGAUAGGAGCUCCUGCUGCAUGGUGGGGGUUGGAAAGUUUCGGCGGUUGGGGAUGGACUCGCGGCUUAUCAGCUUGUUGGUGGGGUAGUGGCUUACCAAGGCUUUGACGGGUAGCCGGCCUGAGAGGGUGACAGGCCACAUUGGGACUGAGAUACGGCCCAGACUCCUACGGGAGGCAGCAGUGGGGAAUAUUGCACAAUGGGCGGAAGCCUGAUGCAGCAACGCCGCGUGCGGGAUGACGGCCUGCGGGUUGUAAACCGCUUUCGCCUGUGACGAAGCGUGAGUGACGGUAAUGGGUAAAGAAGCACCGGCUAACUACGUG
Molecule: ribosomal RNA, 468 nt
Filed under: uncultured bacterium
Lineage: Bacteria
Description: partial 16S ribosomal RNA
Rfam family: Bacterial small subunit ribosomal RNA
Source: RNAcentral